CUACGGGAGGCAGCAGUGAGGAAUAUUGGGCAAUGGGCGAGAGCCUGACCCAGCAACGCCGCGUGUGCGAUGAAGGCCUUCGGGUUGUAAAGCACUGUCGAGGGGGAGGAAGCCGCAAGGUUGACCUAUCCCUGGAGGAAGCACGGGCUAAGUUCGUGCCAGCAGCCGCGGUAAGACGAACCGUGCGAACGUUGUUCGGAAUCACUGGGCUUAAAGGGCGCGUAGGCGGGUUCCCAAGUCAGGGGUGAAAUCUUUCGGCUUAACCGGAAAAGUGCCCCUGAUGCUGGGAGUCUCGAGGGAGAUGGGGGCAUGUGGAACUUCCGGUGGAGCGGUGAAAUGCGUAGAUAUCGGAAGGAACGCCGGUGGCGAAAGCGACGUGCUGGAUCUCUACUGACGCUGAGGCGCGAAAGCCAGGGGAGCAAACGGGAUUAGAAACCCGUGUAGUCC
This 447-nucleotide ribosomal RNA is filed under the name uncultured bacterium. RNAcentral's name for it is "bacterial SSU rRNA". It matches the Rfam family "Bacterial small subunit ribosomal RNA", at positions 339 to 796 of the family's 1533-position model. The record is from RNAcentral.